Molecule: ribosomal RNA, 444 nt
Filed under: uncultured bacterium
Lineage: Bacteria
Description: bacterial SSU rRNA
Rfam family: Bacterial small subunit ribosomal RNA
Source: RNAcentral
CCAGACUCCUACGGGAGGCAGCAGUGGGGAAUUUUGCGCAAUGGGGGAAACCCUGACGCAGCAACGCCGCGUGCGGGACGAAGGCCCUCGGGUUGUAAACCGCUUUCAGCAGGGAAGAUCCAAGACGGUACCUGCAGAAGAAGCUCCGGCUAACUACGUGCCAGCAGCCGCGGUAAUACGUAGGGGGCGAGCGUUAUCCGGAUUCAUUGGGCGUAAAGCGCGCGUAGGCGGCCGCCUAAGCGGGACCUCUAACCCCGGGGCUCAACCCCGGGCCGGGUCCCGGACUGGGCGGCUCGAGUGCGGUAGAGGAGAGCGGAAUUCCCGGUGUAGCGGUGGAAUGCGCAGAUAUCGGGAAGAACACCGAUGGCGAAGGCAGCUCUCUGGGCCGUCACUGACGCUGAGGCGCGAAAGCUGGGGGAGCGAACAGGAUUAGAUACCCGAGUA